AUGGGCGCCGACUUGUUUAGCUACAUCGACAACACCAUCCAGGAGCCUCCCAAGAUCAUCACCACCAAAGAUAAAGACGGCAAAGAUCAGGUCAUCCCCAACCCUGCUUAUGCCCCCUGGCUUGUCCAGGAUCAACAGAUUGUUGCUUACCUUCUGCGCAAUCUGUCCAAGGAAGUCCUUGUUCAAGUUGCAUCGCUCGAGAUGUCGCAUGCGAUAUGGACUGCCUUGGCCACCAUGUUCUCCGAUGUUUCACUGUCCAGGACAAACAAUCUUCAUGCCGCGCUCACCAACACCCAGAAAGGCUCCCUCUCGGCCUCGGCAUACUUCAAUCACAUGCGCUCCCUCUCUGAUGAGCUCGCGGCGGCGGGCAAACCACUCGGGGAGGGGGAGCUCAUCUCCUUCAUCAUCACCGGACUUGACAUGGAUUAUCAACCCAUCAUCUCCGCACUGGACGUCCGCACCGAGCCCAUCACCGUCGACAUCCUCUUCUCCCUCGUGGCAAACUUCGACCAACGGGUCGAGAUGUUUCAGGGCAAUGGCAAUGGGGGCUUCAAAUCCUCAGCCAACGUUGCAUCAUGGGGUCGCUCUGGUGGUGGCAAAGGAGGCUAUUGA
Molecule: ribosomal RNA, 612 nt
Filed under: Triticum aestivum (bread wheat)
Lineage: Eukaryota; Viridiplantae; Streptophyta; Magnoliopsida; Poales; Poaceae
Description: partial small subunit ribosomal RNA
Source: RNAcentral